AAUAAAAUCUGAAAGCCAACCAAAAUAUUAAGGUGUUACAUGUAUGAAGCUUGAUGUAUGUUUCACCAAUCACAACAACGUAAAUAGCUAACUAUACAUAAAAUAUGAGCCUCUGUAGUCAAAUAUGUACUGAGAAUGCAGCAGGUGAGAUGAGGAGUAUGUGAUCAAUGCCUUGGAUCUAUAAUAGAUACCACUUCUUCUUCGCUGUUUGGGCAUUGGGAACUGUUAGCAGUUGAGGUCGAACUUCAGGCUUUCUAUGAGUUUUAAUUUCUCUGCCAAUUGGCACCACAGUAAACUCAAGUUGGCCAGCAAAACAAACCAUCCAACCUAAUGCAAAGUGUAAUCAUCACUAUGUAGAACUACUAAGGUUACUCCAGGAACUAUCUCCAAAAGGCAUUUUAGCACCAGGAUAUCCUGAUUCCUGAAGGACCAAAAUUGCUCUGUCGAUAUAUUGGUGUUGCCCCAUUCAUUUGCAGCACGCUCUUUUUGAGUCCAUGCUGACAGAACUGACUUGGCCCAUAGGACAGAGGAAAUAGAGCAUAUCCACGAUACCUGCAAGCAUGAGAACAAUCAACUAAAGUUCUUUCACUGUGCUUAAAAGAACUACAAAUUUGUGGAAAUAAAGAAGACAAACAUCUCCUUGUCAACUGCCAAAAAAGAGAAAAAAAAAAGGGAAGCCACCACCAUCCACCUCACUCUGCAUUUACAUGACCAGUUACUAAUAACGGGAGGGGGAAAUUUUAUUAUCAUGUCAUUAUUAAGGCUAUUACUCCUGCUUCAUGAACAAUAUGUUAAUAUUCAUAAUUAUUUGUACUACAAGUCUACCAUUGUCUUCUAGUACAAUUCCUUAGAUAUGGAGUAGUUAUUGAUUUGUUGUUGUCUCUAAAUCAGUUUCAAGAACUAAAUUGUGUACGUAGUUGUGUUUGUAUCCAUGAGAAGAUGCAGUUUGUAGCACAGAUCAAGCUUAUCAUCAGUAGUCAUAGUAUACCUUUCUAUACCGUUAAAUGAAGUUGCAAUUGAUGGUUACAACCUACAAUGACACCAACAGAAAAAGAAAUAGAAUUGCAAAUUGGAGCAGGUUUCUUACCUUAUAAAUAAUGAUGAAAUGGUUAGCUGAAAAUCCAAUCACAAACUCAAAUAAUCACUGUUACCACCUCAAAGAAUUUGCAUUUCCAAUUUUGAAACAAUGUUGUAGAAUUAGGAGAGCACAUAUUAAAUGAGACAAUUUGUAGUCGCUGGUUGGUUCUUCAAUAACUAAAACUGAACGCCAAUAUCAAAAUAAUAGUAAGCUGAAUACGGAAGAAGUAGAAACCUAAAGAUUAGAUUUUUGUUACACCAAUUCAAACUUCCUACCUUGUAAAAAAAUAUUUUGUCUUUAAUAUGAGGAACUCACUUCUCAUCUAAACAAAGUAUAAUAACAUAUCCAAUGUAAUCCACAAGUGAGUUCUAGGGAGCUUAAAAUGUAACUACCUCACAUAGGUGGUAGAGAAACUGUUUUAGAGAGAUCUAAGUGCAACAAAUCAAAAUAUUUUACCGAGAAAGGAAUACGAUACCAAAGAAAACAUGUCAGUUAAUAAGGAAAAACAGUUCAACAACAUUUAGAGAAAACAAACAAAAAAAGAUGAAAAAGGGGAAAGGGAGCAGAGCGAGCCAAUAAAGAAGAAAGAGGAAGAAAAUUACCUGGAAAAUUUUCCAGUUCAUAUAGGAGGGUCAUCUCAACAUCAUCAUGUGAAG
RNAcentral lists this long non-coding RNA (1734 nucleotides) under Solanum tuberosum (potato). Its description in RNAcentral is "long non-coding RNA (STUB_LNC007761)". The record is from RNAcentral. Lineage: Eukaryota; Viridiplantae; Streptophyta; Magnoliopsida; Solanales; Solanaceae.